UAGGGAAUAUUGCACAAUGGACGAAAGUCUGAUGCAGCAACGCCGCGUGUGCGAUGAAGGCCUUCGGGUUGUAAAGCACUUUUAUGUGGGAAGAGCAAGGACUGUACCACAUGAAUAAGGAUCGGCUAACUACGUGCCAGCAGCCGCGGUAACACGUAGGAUCCAAGCGUUAUCCGGAUUUACUGGGCGUAAAGCGUGUGUAGGUGGUUUGUUAAGUUGGGUGUUAAAUCUCUCGGCUCAACUGGGAGUUGUCGCUCAAUACUAGCAGACUGGAGGACGGUAGAGGAAGGUGGAAUUCCGGGUGUAGUGGUGAAAUGCGUAGAUAUCCGGAGGAACACCAGUGGCGAAGGCGGCCUUCUGGACCGUUCCUGACACUCAGACACGAAAGCUAGGGUAGCAAACG
This 403-nucleotide ribosomal RNA is filed under the name uncultured prokaryote. RNAcentral describes it as "bacterial SSU rRNA". It matches the Rfam family "Bacterial small subunit ribosomal RNA", at positions 355 to 774 of the family's 1533-position model. The record is from RNAcentral.